Molecule: non-coding RNA, 678 nt
Organism: Hydra vulgaris (swiftwater hydra)
Lineage: Eukaryota; Metazoa; Cnidaria; Hydrozoa; Anthoathecata; Hydridae
Source: RefSeq, a predicted model, not a curated record
UUAAGAAAGGUUUCAAAACAAAAAAGUGCUAUCAUAAAUGCAGAAUUAUUUUCUUUGGAUGAGUUAAUUCAAGCUCCGAGCAUAACAUAUCCAAUAUCAAAUGCUAGUUUUCAACAACAAGUUCUUGCAUUUCAAGAAAAAUUUGUUAAGUGGAUGAGAGAUAAAUCAAAUUGUUUAUCUUUACCGACGACUUCAAUUGCUCAACAAACUUCAGUUAUUUGAUUUUGAGUGUGUUUAAUCAAAAGAGGAGUUUUUUCUGUAUGAAGAAAUUAUGAACGCGGAUUCAUUCGUCGAUUCAUUCGAAGAAGAAAAAAAAGAUUAUUUAAUAUAUCAGAGUUAUUUAAUAUGUUGGUACACACACAUGUAUGCGUGUUAGGGCUCUAAAAUACUGCUAGUUAAAUACAAAUUUUACUUCUUAGAUUGUACAACUAAAGCAAAUAGGAGGGCUUGACUAUAAAAAUACAAUAAAUGAACAUGAAUGGUACCGGAGGCCAAAAUAAAUUAGCUUUUGGAGGAACCGAGACCUACAAAACAGUUUACAUAGUAGUCAUGCUCAAGUUCCCAAAGAUGACGGAAAAAGAAUUUCAUCAAGUGGUUUAGAGCCUCCUUCGAAAUGCCGCUGCUUGAAUAAAAAAGAAAGCAGUCGUAUAAAAAAUGACAAUAUAAUUGUAUAUUUUA